CUGUAGACCAGAAGUGUUUAUAGAAUUCUGAUGGGUAACCGUCUAAACCUGGCACUUUGUUAUUUGAUAGUGAAGAAAUGGCCUUCUUAUAAUCAUCUGCUAUUAAUGGUUCUUCUAGUGCAGCAGUUUGUUUUGGAUUGAAUGUAGGUAUACCUGUGAAAAUUGGGUUGUCUCGCACACUACGACACUAAACAACAGCCAUCACAUAAUUUAUUAAGUAAAUAGAAGGCUUGCUUUUGGUGCCAAAACGGACUCUACUUGUACAACAUGGCUCAUGCAGAUACAUGUGCAUUGUGUCACAAACAUAUUGUUGAAGACAAUACAUCACAAACAGUCUUAAGACUUUUUGGAAAACUGACCGACUCUUACAUUGGAGUCUCGGACAAAUAUCAACCUAAAGUACAAAUUCUACACUGAGCUGGACAAACAUACUCCACGACUGAUGGCCAUCUACAGACAGAAGGCUGUCCGCACUGGCAAGAUAGCAGAAGCAAUGAGAAGCAUUUUUUAUUAAUUUAUUAAUGUACACAUCACUUCAUAAAGAGAUAUUGAUAUCUGUCAAGUGUUUAACUGUAUAUAAAAAUAAAAAAUAAAAAACUCUUUUUUUGUUUGUUUGUUGCUUUCACUUGCUGCCUGCCCUCAGCACAUUGAUAUCAAUAACAUACAUGCAGCUGCUUUUUGGCCCCUCCAGUCUACCUGAGUGAAGAUGACUUUC
Long non-coding RNA from Myxocyprinus asiaticus (Chinese sucker), 715 nucleotides. RefSeq lists it as uncharacterized. The record is from RefSeq and is a predicted model, not a curated record. The transcript is spliced from 5 exons. Lineage: Eukaryota; Metazoa; Chordata; Actinopteri; Cypriniformes; Catostomidae.